This 301-nucleotide ribosomal RNA is filed under the name uncultured bacterium. RNAcentral describes it as "partial 16S ribosomal RNA". It matches the Rfam family "Bacterial small subunit ribosomal RNA", at positions 509 to 808 of the family's 1533-position model. The record is from RNAcentral.
CAGUCGCCGCGGUAAUACAGAGGAUGCAAGCGUUAUCUGGAAUGAUUGGGCGUAAAGCGACUGUAGGUGGCUUUUCAAGUCCGCAGUCAAAUCCCAAGGCUCAACCCUGGACAGGCGGCGGAAACUACCAAGAUGGAGUACGGUAGGGGCAGAGGGAAUUUCCGGUGGAGCGGUGAAAUGCGUUGAGAUCGGAAAGAACACCAACGGUGAAAGCACUCUGUUGGGCCGACACUGACACUGAGAGACGAAAGUUAGGGGAGAAAAUGGGAUUAGAUACCCCCGUAGUCCCUGUCUCUUAUAC